AUCUUUUCUUUUUUCCUUUUUAAUUUUCUUUUUCUUUGGUAAUUUACCUUGAUUGUUUUUUCUGAUAAUCUUGUAAUUUGAGAAUUUAGAACAACUAGAAGCCUUUCAAAAGUUAAAAUCAGAAAAGGCUUGAGAGGGAAAGGAAGUAGCUUCUGAUGAAAACAUACAACCACGGGUGCCCCUAGAAUCUUGCUUGGCAAGCUUUUCAGCUCCAGAGGAAGUUCAUGGUUUUUAUAGCAUUGCCUUGAAGUCCAAGACUAUAGCAAUCAAGCCGCUUAGGUAUUGUUGACAAUGAUGUCGUCGAGCUAAAUUAUCUACAUCGACAUGAUUGGGUCUUGAUGUGUGGCCUUGAUUUUCUAUUUUCUGAAAAGGGUAUGUUUUCUUUUUUAAGCUUGUUCUUUGUUUUUGGAACUUGUAUUGAUUUCAAUCUCCAUUUAAAUGAUCGGGUUUUUGUAUUUGUGAAAUAGAUUUUUGGGUUU
Molecule: long non-coding RNA, 479 nt
Organism: Magnolia sinica
Lineage: Eukaryota; Viridiplantae; Streptophyta; Magnoliopsida; Magnoliales; Magnoliaceae
Exons: 3
Source: RefSeq, a predicted model, not a curated record